UACGGGGGAUGCAAGUGUUAUCCGGAAUCACUGGGCGUAAAGCGUCUGUAGGUGGUUUAGCAAGUCUGCUGUUAAAUAUUGGGGCUCAACCCUGAACAAGCAGUGGAAACUAUUAGACUAGAGUAUGGUAUGGGUAUAGGGAAUUCCCAGUGUAGCGGUGAAAUGCGUAGAUAUUGGGAAGAACACCAGCAGCGAAAGCGCUUUACUGGGCCAUUACUGACACUCAGAGACGAAAGCUAGGGUAGCGAAUGGG
RNAcentral lists this ribosomal RNA (253 nucleotides) under uncultured bacterium. Its description in RNAcentral is "partial 16S ribosomal RNA". It matches the Rfam family "Bacterial small subunit ribosomal RNA", at positions 524 to 776 of the family's 1533-position model. The record is from RNAcentral.